GCGCGCGAUACAGGGUGACAGCCCCGUACACAAAAAUGCACAUGCUGUGAGCUCGAUGAGUAGGGCGGGACACGUGGUAUCCUGUCUGAAUAUGGGGGGACCAUCCUCCAAGGCUAAAUACUCCUGACUGACCGAUAGUGAACCAGUACCGUGAGGGAAAGGCGAAAAGAACCCCGGCGAGGGGAGUGAAAAAGAACCUGAAACCGUGUACGUACAAGCAGUGGGAGCACGCUUAGGCGUGUGACUGCGUACCUUUUGUAUAAUGGGUCAGCGACUUAUAUUCUGUAGCAAGGUUAACCGAAUAGGGGAGCCGAAGGGAAACCGAGUCUUAACUGGGCGUUAAGUUGCAGGGUAUAGACCCGAAACCCGGUGAUCUAGCCAUGGGCAGGUUGAAGGUUGGGUAACACUAACUGGAGGACCGAACCGACUAAUGUUGAAAAAUUAGCGGAUGACUUGUGGCUGGGGGUGAAAGGCCAAUCAAACCGGGAGAUAGCUGGUUCUCCCCGAAAGCUAUUUAGGUAGCGCCUCGUGAAUUCAUCUCCGGGGGUAGAGCACUGUUUCGGCAAGGGGGUCAUCCCGACUUACCAACCCGAUGCAAACUGCGAAUACCGGAGAAUGUUAUCACGGGAGACACACGGCGGGUGCUAACGUCCGUCGUGAAGAGGGAAACAACCCAGACCGCCAGCUAAGGUCCCAAAGUCAUGGUUAAGUGGGAAACGAUGUGGGAAGGCCCAGACAGCCAGGAUGUUGGCUUAGAAGCAGCCAUCAUUUAAAGAAAGCGUA
Molecule: ribosomal RNA, 783 nt
Filed under: Escherichia coli
Lineage: Bacteria; Pseudomonadati; Pseudomonadota; Gammaproteobacteria; Enterobacterales; Enterobacteriaceae
Description: partial 23S ribosomal RNA
Rfam family: Bacterial large subunit ribosomal RNA
Source: RNAcentral